CACGUAGUUAGCCGGUGCUUAUUCUUUAGGUACCGUCAGUAUCAGCCAUUAUUCACAGCUGACUUUUCUUCCCUAACAAAAGUACUUUACAACCCUAAGGCCUUCUUCAUACACGCGGCAUGGCUGGAUCAGGGUUGCCCCCAUUGUCCAAAAUUCCCCACUGCUGCCUCCCGUAGGAGUCUGGGCCGUGUCUCAGUCCCAGUGUGGCGGAUCAUCCUCUCAGACCCGCUACAGAUCUUCGCCUUGGUGAGCCUUUACCUCACCAACUAGCUAAUCCGACAUCGGCCGCUCAAAAAGCGCUAGGCCUAUUCCCAGGUCCCCAGCUUUCUUCCUCAGAAUUUAUGCGGUAUUAGCCACCCUUUCGGGUGGUUAUCCCCCUCUUCUCGACACGUUCCGAUGUAUUACUCACCCGUUCGCCACUCGCCGGCAGAGAAGCAAGCUCCUCCCCGCUGCCGUUCGACUUGCAUGUGUAAAGCAUGCCGCCAGCGUUCAAUCUGAGCCAGGAUA
This 507-nucleotide ribosomal RNA is filed under the name uncultured Neisseriaceae bacterium. Its description in RNAcentral is "partial 16S ribosomal RNA". Lineage: Bacteria; Pseudomonadati; Pseudomonadota; Betaproteobacteria; Neisseriales; Neisseriaceae. The record is from RNAcentral.